RNAcentral lists this ribosomal RNA (620 nucleotides) under uncultured Georgenia sp. RNAcentral describes it as "bacterial SSU rRNA". It matches the Rfam family "Bacterial small subunit ribosomal RNA", at positions 431 to 1060 of the family's 1533-position model. The record is from RNAcentral. Lineage: Bacteria; Bacillati; Actinomycetota; Actinomycetes; Allobogoriellales; Allobogoriellaceae.
CUCUUUCAGUAGGGAAGAAGCUCUUCGGGGUGACGGUACCUGCAGAAGAAGCGCCGGCUAACUACGUGCCAGCAGCCGCGGUAAUACGUAGGGCGCAAGCGUUGUCCGGAAUUAUUGGGCGUAAAGAGCUCGUAGGCGGUCUGUCGCGUCUGCUGUGAAAACGCGGGGCUCAACCCCGCGCCUGCAGUGGGUACGGGCAGACUAGAGUGCGGUAGGGGAGACUGGAAUUCCUGGUGUAGCGGUGGAAUGCGCAGAUAUCAGGAGGAACACCGGUGGCGAAGGCGGGUCUCUGGGCCGUUACUGACGCUGAGGAGCGAAAGCAUGGGGAGCGAACAGGAUUAGAUACCCUGGUAGUCCAUGCCGUAAACGUUGGGCACUAGGUGUGGGACCCAUUCCACGGGUUCCGUGCCGCAGCUAACGCAUUAAGUGCCCCGCCUGGGGAGUACGGCCGCAAGGCUAAAACUCAAAGGAAUUGACGGGGGCCCGCACAAGCGGCGGAGCAUGCGGAUUAAUUCGAUGCAACGCGAAGAACCUUACCAAGGCUUGACAUACACCGGAAACAUCCAGAGAUGGGUGCCCCGCAAGGUCGGUGUACAGGUGGUGCAUGGUUGUCGUCAGCU